UACGUAGGGUGCGAGCGUUGUCCGGAUUUAUUGGGCGUAAAGAGCUCGUAGGCGGCUUGUCGCGUCGGAUGUGAAAGCCCGGGGCUUAACUCCGGGUCUGCAUUCGAUACGGGCAGGCUAGAGUGUGGUAGGGGAGAUCGGAAUUCCUGGUGUAGCGGUGAAAUGCGCAGAUAUCAGGAGGAACACCGAUGGCGAAGGCAGGGUCUCUGGGCCACUACUGACGCUGAGAAGCGAAAGCAUGGGGAGCGAACAGG
This 254-nucleotide ribosomal RNA is filed under the name uncultured bacterium. Its description in RNAcentral is "partial 16S ribosomal RNA". It matches the Rfam family "Bacterial small subunit ribosomal RNA", at positions 524 to 776 of the family's 1533-position model. The record is from RNAcentral.